RNAcentral lists this unclassified non-coding RNA (355 nucleotides) under soil metagenome. RNAcentral describes it as "partial contains 5.8S ribosomal RNA, internal transcribed spacer 2, and large subunit ribosomal RNA". The stretch from base 1 to 120 matches the Rfam family "5.8S ribosomal RNA", at positions 35 to 154 of the family's 154-position model. The record is from RNAcentral.
GAUGAAGAACGUAGCGAAAUGCGAUAAGUAAUGUGAAUUGCAGAAUUCAGUGAAUCAUCGAAUCUUUGAACGCACAUUGCGCCCAUUAGUAUUCUAGUGGGCAUGCCUGUUCGAGCGUCAUUAAGUCCACUUAAGCCCUGCUUAGUGUUGGGAGACUGCUCCAGCGGUGCUACCCUGUAGCUACCCUGCAGCUCCUCAAAGACAGCGGCGGAGUUGUGGUAUCCUCUGAGCUUAGUAACUUGUUCUAGCUUUCGAUUACACCACUUCCCCUGCCGUAAAACCCUUAAUUUUUAAUGGUUGACCUCGGAUCAGGUAGGAAUACCCGCUGAACUUAAGCAUAUCAAUAAGCGGAGGA